UCAUGGUUAAGCCUGCAGACCCUGAAAACAGAACUGACCUGACAGGCUUGCCUGAUGAGGACAAAGACCGGGAGCACAAGAAGAGCAGCAAGGAUGAGCACAGUGAGGAGAGUGAUGAUUCUAAAGCUGCUAAAGACAUUGAGGAUGGUGAAAACGGUGACACCAGCAACGUUAGCAAAGAUGAUCAGUUCAGGAAGGUCGAGCAGAAUCAUCAGUACACUGAAGACAGCGAAAAGGAGCAAAGCAAGAAGAAAAAGAAGAAGAAGAACUGCUUCCAACGCAUCUUGUCUCGGAUGAAGAAGACGUUCUGCUGCUGCUGUGUGUCUGAUGUGAUGGACUGAGCAGCACCAAUGGCCUGCAGUCACAUUUCACUCUCACAGGCAGAAGGCCGCCCUCUCAGAGCCUGGUUCUGCCGGAGGUUUCUUCCCAUUUCAACAGGUGAUUGGCCGUGAUGAAGAGACGUCAGAUUGUACAGAACGGUGUUAUGGAGCUGACAUUAUGGAGCUGCGGUUCCUGGCCUCACCUGCCUUGAAGUUCUAUCUACUGUCCUGUUCUCUCUCUCCUUUCCCCUCACCCCAACCGGUCGAGGCAGAUGGCCGCCCUGUCUGAGCCUGGUUCUGCCGGAGGGUUCUUCCUGAAAAAGGGAGUUUUACCUCCCCACUGUCGCCAAGUGCUUGCUCAGACGGGAAUCCAAAGGAAAUUAUGGAUUUGUUGGGUUUCUCUCUAUAAUUUUGUCUUUACUUUUCUCAUUUAAGUGUCUUGACAUGACACAUUUGAACUGUAAAUAAAAUUUAUUGAAACUGA
Long non-coding RNA from Acanthochromis polyacanthus (spiny chromis), 804 nucleotides. RefSeq lists it as uncharacterized. The transcript has 3 exons. The record is from RefSeq and is a predicted model, not a curated record. Lineage: Eukaryota; Metazoa; Chordata; Actinopteri; Pomacentridae.